This 253-nucleotide ribosomal RNA is filed under the name uncultured bacterium. RNAcentral describes it as "partial 16S ribosomal RNA". It matches the Rfam family "Bacterial small subunit ribosomal RNA", at positions 524 to 776 of the family's 1533-position model. The record is from RNAcentral.
UACGGGGGGGGCAAGCGUUGUUCGGAAUUACUGGGCGUAAAGGGAUUGUAGGCGGCCAACUAAGUCCGACGUGAAAUCCCAAGGCUUAACCUUGGAACUGCGUCGGAUACUGGAUGGCUUGAAUUCGGGAGAGGGAUGCAGAAUUCCAGGUGUAGCGGUGAAAUGCGUAGAUAUCUGGAGGAAUACCGGUGGCGAAGGCGGCAUCCUGGACCGACAUUGACGCUGAUAAUCGAAAGCUAGGGGAGCAAACGGG